Molecule: ribosomal RNA, 371 nt
Filed under: uncultured bacterium
Lineage: Bacteria
Description: bacterial SSU rRNA
Rfam family: Bacterial small subunit ribosomal RNA
Source: RNAcentral
AUACGGAGGAUCCAAGCGUUAUCCGGAAUCAUUGGGUUUAAAGGGUCCGUAGGCGGCCCUGUAAGUCAGUGGUGAAAUCUCCCCGCUCAACGGGGAAACGGCCAUUGAUACUGCAGGGCUUGAAUUACUGGGAAGCAACUAGAAUAUGUAGUGUAGCGGUGAAAUGCUUAGAUAUUACAUGGAAUACCAAUUGCGAAGGCAGGUUGCUACCAGUGGAUUGACGCUGAUGGACGAAAGCGUGGGUAGCGAACAGGAUUAGAUACCCCGGUAGUCCACGCCGUAAACGAUGGAUACUAGCUGUUCGGGGCAACCUGAGUGGCUAAGCGAAAGUGAUAAGUAUCCCACCUGGGGAGUACGUUCGCAAGAAUGAA